CAGUCGCCGCGGGAAUACGUAGGUGGCAAGCGUUGUCCGGAAUUAUUGGGCGUAAAGGGCUCGCAGGCGGUUUCUUAAGUCUGAUGUGAAAGCCCCAGGCUCAACCGGGGAGGGUCAUUGGAAACUGGGAAACUUGAGUGCAGAAGAGGAGAGUGGAAUUCCACGUGUAGCGGUGAAAUGCGUAGAGAUGUGGAGGAACACCAGUGGCGAAGGCGACUCUCUGGUCUGUAACUGACGCUGAGGAGCGAAAGCGUGGGGAGCGAACAGGAUUAGAUACCCCAGUAGUCCCUGUCUCUUAUAA
RNAcentral lists this ribosomal RNA (301 nucleotides) under uncultured bacterium. RNAcentral's name for it is "partial 16S ribosomal RNA". It matches the Rfam family "Bacterial small subunit ribosomal RNA", at positions 509 to 809 of the family's 1533-position model. The record is from RNAcentral.